Molecule: ribosomal RNA, 388 nt
Filed under: uncultured bacterium
Lineage: Bacteria
Description: bacterial SSU rRNA
Rfam family: Bacterial small subunit ribosomal RNA
Source: RNAcentral
GACGAACGCUGGCGGCGUGCUUAACACAUGCAAGUCGAGCGGUAAGGCCCUUUCGGGGGUACACGAGCGGCGAACGGGUGAGUAACACGUGGGUGACCUGCCCUCAGCUCUGGGAUAAGCCUGGGAAACUGGGUCUAAUACUGGAUAUGACUCCACGGUGCAUGUCGUGGGGUGGAAAGCCUUGUGCGGCUGAGGAUGGGCCCGCGGCCUAUCAGCUUGUUGGUGGGGUGAUGGCCUACCAAGGCGACGACGGGUAGCCGGCCUGAGAGGGCGACCAGCCACACUGGGACUGAGACACGGCCCAGACUCCUACGGGAGGCAGCAGUGGGGAAUCUUGGACAAUGGGCGCAAGCCUGAUCCAGCCAUGCCGCGUGGGUGAAGAAGGCCU